RNAcentral lists this transfer RNA (64 nucleotides) under Dipodomys ordii (Ord's kangaroo rat). It matches the Rfam family "tRNA". Rfam says of the family: Transfer RNA (tRNA) molecules are approximately 80 nucleotides in length. Their secondary structure includes four short double-helical elements and three loops (D, anti-codon, and T loops). The record is from Rfam by way of RNAcentral. Lineage: Eukaryota; Metazoa; Chordata; Mammalia; Rodentia; Heteromyidae.
GGUGGCUCAGUGGUAGAGUGCUUGCCUUGCUUGCAUGAGGCCCUGUGUUUGAUUCUCAGCACCA